RNAcentral lists this ribosomal RNA (1861 nucleotides) under Paradiscocephalus elongatus. RNAcentral describes it as "LSU rRNA". It matches the Rfam family "Eukaryotic large subunit ribosomal RNA", at positions 23 to 1874 of the family's 3401-position model. The record is from RNAcentral. Lineage: Eukaryota; Ciliophora; Spirotrichea; Euplotida; Discocephalidae.
ACCCGCUGGACUUAAGCAUAUCACUAAGCGGAGGAAAAGAAACUAACUAAGAUUGCCUCAGUAUCGGCGAGAGAAGCGGCAAGAGCCCAAACUGUAAAUCUCCGCGCCCUCGGUGCGGCGAAUUGUAAUCUGUGGAUUUGUUCUAAGGCCGGCAUUGGUGCAGAAGUGUUUUUGAGUUAACCGCCAGAGAGGGUGAGAGCCCCGUCUGUGGUGCCGAUGUAGGCGUAGGAGCAGGUCUUAAGAGUCGGGUAGUUUUGAAUUGCUGCCCUAAUUGGGAGAUAAACUUCUUCUAAGGCUAAAUAUAUCCGAGAAACCGAUAGCGAACAAGUACUGUGAAGGAAAGAUGAAAAGAACUUUGGAAAAAGAGUUAACAGAUUUGAAACUGUAGAGAAGGAAGCGGUAGAAAUUUAUCGUUCAUAGUUGGCCUGAGUCUUUGCGUAGUCGCGUGGGGAGCAGAGCAACCGCAAGGGGCUUCUUUUCACUCGGCGGAGCGAUGGUUUUGGUCUUCUAUGUUAGACAGGAUGAGUUUGUGCCUGCGCAAAAGCUAGGAUUAGAGCUGAUUUCGGUUAGACUUUUUCUGUGCUGGCGUGGUCAUGGACUGAGGGUGCCUUGUGCGAUUCUGUCAAAAUGGUUUUUACCGACCCGUCUUGAAACACGGACCAAGGAGUCUAGCCUAUGCGCGAGUGUGCUGGUGGAAAAACCAACGCGCGAAAUGAAAGUGAGCGGUGCCAAGCUUCGGCUGCAGCAUCGGCCGACCAUGAUUCUUCGAUGAAAGGUUUGAGUAUGAGCGCAUACGCUAGGACCCGAAAGAUGGUGAACUAUGCCUGAGUAGGGUGAAGCCAGGGGAAACUCUGGUGGAAGCUCGUAGCGAUUCUGACGUGCAAAUCGAUCGUCGAACUUGGGUAUAGGGGCGAAAGACUAAUCGAACCAUCUAGUAGCUGGUUCCCUCCGAAGUUUCCCUCAGGAUAGCUGAGACAUUUUGCAGUUUUAUUAGGUAAAGCGAAUGAUUAGAGGCCUCGGGGGUGAAAUACUCUCGACCUAUUCUCAAACUUUAAAUUGGUAAGAACUUCCAGCUUUCUUAAGUGAGUAUGGAAGGUAGAAUGCGUGUCUCAAGUGGGCCAUUUUUGGUAAGCAGAACUGGCGGUGAGGGAUGAACCUAACGUAGAGUUAAGGUGCCCAACUGCACGCUCAUCAGAUACCACAAAAGGUGUUGGUUCAUAUAGACAGCAGGACGGUGACCAUGGAAGUCGGAAUCCGCUAAGGAGUGUGUAACAACUCACCUGCCGAAUGGACUAGCCCUGAAAAUUGAUGGCGCUUAAGCGUGCGACCGAUACUCUACCAUCGUGGCGAGAGUGCUGCUUCGAUGAGUAGGAGGGCGUGAGAGUCGCGGCGAAGCCUCUGGCGUGAGCCUGGGUUGAGCGGCUUUUAGUGCAGAUCUUGGUGGUAGUAGCAAUUAUUCAAAUGAGAACUUUGAAGGCCGAAGUGGAGAAGGUUUCCGUGAGAACAGCAAUUGGUCACGGGUGACUCGAUCCUAAGACAUUGGGGAACCCCUUGUUAAAUGUGCUCUUUUGCACGCAGUCGAAAGGGAAUGAGGUUAAUAUUCCUCAAGCUGGAUGUGGAUCUUAUAUGGCAACAUUAAAACGAGCCCAGAGACACCAGAGCAUGCCCCUGGAAGAGUUCUCUUUUCUUUUUAACAGGCUAGCGACCUUGAAGUCGGAUUAUCCGGAGAGAAGGUUGUAUGUCUGGAAGAGCGCCUCGCUUUUUGAGGCGUCAGGUGCGCCUGCUAUGGUCCAUGAAAAUCUGGGUAAGAGUAGUAUAUCACUCCAGUUCGUACCAACAACCGCAUCAGGUCUCCAAGGUU